AAGCCCUAAAUAGUUAAAAGCAAUAUUACAUCGUCAAUUUCAUUCAUUCAUACUUCCCAAUGCAAGGUGUUACAUAAAAGAGAGGAGAAAGACACAACUAAUCUCUAAGAGAGAAGACUUUUCCCUAUUUGAGAAUUUGGUACGACCUCACUUGCUCCCUUGAAAUAAACAAAGGAGAUUAAAAAUGCUCUACCUGAUGCAAAACAUUUUCAAAUGACUAUGAGACGACUACAAGACUAGAAA
RNAcentral lists this long non-coding RNA (243 nucleotides) under Lathyrus oleraceus (garden pea). RNAcentral describes it as "Pisum sativum (pea) long non-coding RNA (PSAT_LNC030912)". Lineage: Eukaryota; Viridiplantae; Streptophyta; Magnoliopsida; Fabales; Fabaceae. The record is from RNAcentral.